This is a long non-coding RNA of Mustela erminea (ermine), 1480 nucleotides long. RefSeq lists it as uncharacterized. NCBI's taxonomy places the organism in Eukaryota, Metazoa, Chordata, Mammalia, Carnivora, Mustelidae. The record is from RefSeq and is a predicted model, not a curated record. The transcript has 5 exons.
AAACCUAAAAUGUGGAACAAUACAAAUUUCCACCACAGAAAACCAUCAAACAGAACUAUUCUGCAAGACAGUACCUCACCCCGGCGUCCAAGGCCAGGACCCUGCACGGUAAGCCUCAUUUAAGGAAAGGCUGAGUGUUACAGUCUUGCCAGGCAGCGGGGAACCGUGGUGAUAAGGGCAAUGAGACACCAGCCGGAGCUCAGCGUGUUGGCGGAGUUUGGCCACACGCUUGGCAGCACGAAAAUGCCCGGACAGCACUAACUCUAAGAGGGACUUUCAAGUUCAGCUGUGAUGUCCGCACAAGCAAUGCCAAACCUAGUCUGGGAGUCCAGCAUUCUGGAGCAGGAAAGAGAAGAAGGGAUCAUGUCCACCCCAGGCAGAGACGGCAAACGCCUCCUCAUCGCCACGCUUGCCUGGACCAUGCUAUGAAAGAAAAGAAACGUCACCGUCGCACCUGGCUGCCACAGUGGGUCACACUGAGAAGUCCACUCCAGGAUGGACAGCCUUGGCCAGAAGCGCCCACACAGGCGAUCUGGUCGUCAGGAAGGCUGAAAUUCUGCUCUCUUGAAUGCAUGUCCAGAGAAUUCUGACAAGCUUUUUCCUGGACCACUCAAGGCCCCACUGUAAACAGGGAAACUCCUUGUUCUGUCCUCAUCUGAAGGGAGACUCUGGAACGCCAACAAUUCUCCCUCUAUCAAGAAUGAGACAUCCUUGUCAAGAUCUCACAGACUUCAGGGCCUUAUAGAGUGAGCAGCCAAGGGAAAAUGCUCCCAAGGAUAAGGAAACAGAGGAACCUCAGAUUCCAUCAAAACAACCAUUAGAGUAGAUUCCAGAACAACAGCUUCCCGUGCCAGCUGGCCAUCAUGCCUGUCCAUUUUCAGAGUAAUCAACUGUAUGAAUAUAUUUUUAAAAGGUAGGUGUGAGUGAGAGCAGAUUUGGUUUCCAUUUUCCCUUUGGUAGAUAAUAAGCUAUGAAAGCUUUCUUUAAGAAUAUUUGUAAAUGUGCCCAGAGGUUAGCGAAAAAUGAGAACAUUUGAUACAGCAAAUAAUACCAGCUUUGUGUAUUCUCCUGAAGUUUCCUAAGCUUGAAUCCUAGGCUGGAAUCAUUCUCUCCAGUAUCCUAAAAGACUACAUAAGAUGAAAGGUAGGGAAUCUUGGUAUAACCUAGGAAGUAAUGCUUACCAGCAAAUAAAGUCACUCAUCAAUUAUCUGUAGAUAAGUGGACUUUGGGGAAAAAAUUGUAUUUAAAAAAUCUCUGAGGAGCUCAAAUAGUUGACAAACCCCAAGCACGUAAGCAAGUCUUAAGAGUUUUGAUCAUUCUUCAUGACUUGCCGACAUUUAGUUUGCAUACAUUUCUACCAGACAGAGCCAUCUGGCUUUUCAGACCUCAGCCAAUGGAAAAUGGAACUUUUGAAAAAGAGAGACAGGAGCAAACAAGGACCAGGUAACAGAAGUGACAGGAGUGACAGCUAGAGAAGAAA